AUAGAUGAAUAGAAUGAGCAAAAGUUGCAGCACAGCGUGUCACCAGAGAGGAAAAGAAUAUCCUUGCUGUGCCAAGAAAGAAAAGACCAUGGAUCUACUAGUUGCAGAUUUCAGCAGUAAUGCCAAGGGGGCAAGAAGUGACCAGCAGAACAAUUAGGCCAUGGCAACAGAAGCCAACUACAACCCAUGUUCCAAUCUAUGACCUCCCUCUCCUGCUGGUACAAGGAUAUGUAUUCCUUAGAGCAAAGGAUGCAAUGUCAAGCAAGUUGUGAUACCUCAACUAUCUACAAUUUAACACCAAGGAAAGAACACUGUUUGGAGAAAUGAGAAAGAUUAUCAUCAGUGUCUUUCAGAAGUCAUCAAAAGAAGAAAAGGAGAAAAGAGAGGAGAAAGCAGAAAGAUCUGGAGUCUGGGAAGUUCAAGAGCAUGGCACCAACAUCUGGCAAGGGCUUUCAUUCUGCAUCAUCUCAUGGAGGAAAAUAAAAAGGCAAUGUCUUCCAGAGUCCUCACGAGUAUCAGAGAAGGCAUAAUCUGUACACGUGGCUUCAUUUAAAAUGAAAAUAUCAAGCAGUGUCAUUUUCACAAGUAUCCCCACACUGUCUGAGGCUGAAAAGAAGAGUGUAGCUAUGCACACUGCAGUGAGAAGAAAAUUUCAGCUCAAUUGGAGGAUGUAAAGAUUGAAAUACCACUGCUCCUAGUUCUGAUGCAAAAUUGAAAAGAGUGCACUGGGUCUUCAAAUGGCAUAUUGACAAGGAGAAAGAGGAAAGGAUGCCCCAGGACAGCCUGGGGGUCAAGGCUGGGCUCAGGCAUGCCUGGACAAGCCAUGCAAGUUGUCUCCGGACUUGAACCACGUAUCAGAGGAGCUAUUUGAGGAGCCACAUCAGCAUACCUGCUUCUGUGGGCCCCCAGGCUGUGGUGCUCAGCCCUUGCACUAUGAAACAUUUUUUUUUUCCAGAAGCCAAAGCUUUGAGCAUCUCCUCCCAUGUAGAGAGUGUAUAUGUUUACGUCCAUGUCUUUCGCCAUGUGAACGCAUGCAACCACCACCUCAAAUAUCAUAAAUCCUCUCUCUCCCCCUUUCUGUCUGCCUGUUUAUCUACAAUCUGUCUAUUUAAAUUCUUUUUAAACAAGAAGGGAAUAUCUUUAUGCCUGUUUGUAGGGAUAUUCUACAUCCAUCUGUUAUUUACAUCAUUCGUUUUCCUGAGGUGUCUCCAACAAAUCCUGGCUGGAUGCACUGUAUGUGUUAUUAAUAAAACAGCUGUAAAAAUAUUAA
Molecule: long non-coding RNA, 1270 nt
Filed under: Homo sapiens (human)
Lineage: Eukaryota; Metazoa; Chordata; Mammalia; Primates; Hominidae
Description: long intergenic non-protein coding RNA 1539
Source: RNAcentral